CUUCACCGAACCCAGCCACAGCGAUUGCGACCGUUCUCGGCCGUAGGUGGCCAGCAGCGCCUGAGCCUC
Molecule: antisense RNA, 69 nt
Filed under: Saccharothrix saharensis
Lineage: Bacteria; Bacillati; Actinomycetota; Actinomycetes; Pseudonocardiales; Pseudonocardiaceae
Description: ASpks TB sRNA
Rfam family: ASpks TB sRNA
Source: RNAcentral